GGGGCCGUAGCUCAAGAGCAGAGCGCCGGUGCGACAUGCCGGCGAUGGAGGUGCAAGUCCUCCCGGCCUCA
RNAcentral lists this transfer RNA (71 nucleotides) under Kofleriaceae bacterium. Its description in RNAcentral is "tRNA-Val". It matches the Rfam family "tRNA". Rfam says of the family: Transfer RNA (tRNA) molecules are approximately 80 nucleotides in length. Their secondary structure includes four short double-helical elements and three loops (D, anti-codon, and T loops). Lineage: Bacteria; Pseudomonadati; Myxococcota; Haliangiales; Kofleriaceae. The record is from RNAcentral.